AAACUGGAGAGUUUGAUUCUGGCUCAGAUUGAACGCUGGCGGCGUGCCUAACACAUGCAAGUCGAACGCGAAAGUCUCUUCGGAGAUGAGUAGAGUGGCGCACGGGUGAGUAACGCGUGGAUUAUCUACCUACUGGUACGGGACAACAGUUGGAAACGACUGCUAAUACCGUAUACGCUGGUAACGGGAAAGGGGGCCUCUUCUUGAAAGCUCUCGCCAGUAGAUGAGUCCGCGUUUCAUUAGCUAGACGGUGGGGUAACGGCCUACCGUGGCAACGAUGAAUAGCAGGCCUGAGAGGGUGGCCUGCCACACUGGGACUGGAACACGGCCCAGACUCCUACGGGAGGCAGCAGUGGGGAAUAUUGCGCAAUGGACGAAAGUCUGACGCAGCGACGCCGCGUGGAGGAUGAAGGUUUUCGGAUCGUAAACUCCUGUCAAGAGGGAAGAAACCUAU
RNAcentral lists this non-coding RNA (454 nucleotides) under Halodesulfovibrio spirochaetisodalis. RNAcentral's name for it is "Bacterial small subunit ribosomal RNA". It matches the Rfam family "Bacterial small subunit ribosomal RNA", at positions 1 to 455 of the family's 1533-position model. The record is from Rfam by way of RNAcentral. Lineage: Bacteria; Pseudomonadati; Thermodesulfobacteriota; Desulfovibrionia; Desulfovibrionales; Desulfovibrionaceae.